AGUCAAUAGAUACCCCGGUAGUCCACGCCGUAAACGAUGAGUACUAGGUGUAGGAGGUAUCGACUCCUUCUGUGCCGCAGUUAAACACAAUAAGUACUCCGCCUGGGAAGUACGGUCGCAAGAUUAAAACUCAAAGGAAUUGACGGGGGUCCCGCACAAGCAGCGGAGCAUGUGGUUUAAUUCGAAGCAACGCGAAGAACCUUACCUAGACUUGACAUCUCCUGAAUAGUGUAGAGAUACAUGAAGCCCUUCGGGGUCAGGAAGACAGGUGGUGCAUGGUUGUCGUCAGCUCGUGUCGUGAGAUGUUGGG
This 310-nucleotide ribosomal RNA is filed under the name uncultured bacterium. RNAcentral's name for it is "bacterial SSU rRNA". It matches the Rfam family "Bacterial small subunit ribosomal RNA", at positions 775 to 1079 of the family's 1533-position model. The record is from RNAcentral.